CCAUGGCUGCAAUAGGAAAUCUAUCAGUUGAGGAAAUGGAUGCAACAAGAAAUCAGUCAGAUGAAGGCACAGUUUGACAAGGAAAUAGGUCAAACAAGAGAACAGAUCACAACACUAUGCACUCAUUUACGUGUCCUGUCUACCGAGGAUUCCCAAGCUCACAGCGACGAUGGCAAUGAGCACCAUUUGGGUGUUGAUCAGAUAGAUCCUAAUCAUCACGAUUUUCAAGGCCAGACAUCUACAUCUGGGUUGCAAGAGGAAGUGGUUAGGGUCACUAAACGUGCUAUGCGAGACAAAUAGCCAUCGCAGUUUCUAAAAUCUCCUUACACUGAUCUGAUCCGACCGAAAAAGAGAAAGAAAAAUGUUCCAGCGAAUGAGCCAGAAGUGGAGGCAGUACCAUCAGUGCCUGAGCAAGUAAGGGAUGAAUUCAUGACCUCUAAAUAAAAUAUUUUUCGUCACACCGGUUACGUGCUCAAUCUAUCCCCGGUGGACUUCCAACACAUAGAGAAAGAAAUUGAAUGGUUGGGGAAGGAACACAUUGAUAGUUACAUGUGUUCCUUAAGACGUGCACAGUCUCAUCCACUAUAUGAUAGGAAUUAUGCUAUCAUGUCGACCGAGCUAUUUGUGUCUAUAGCAUAAUUUUGGAAAAAAUAAUAUGAGGACACUGGGACAAUUUUCGUUCCUUCUACGACGACUGUCCCGGAAGAAUGAGCACGUUUUGUUGACAGGAGCAUUGACAAAAAUCUUCCUUAGUAGACAAUCAACUACGUAAGUGUUAAUAAUUUUAUCAUUGAUGUAUUUAUUUCCGUACGACU
This is a long non-coding RNA of Diospyros lotus (date-plum), 815 nucleotides long. RefSeq lists it as uncharacterized. The transcript has 4 exons. The record is from RefSeq and is a predicted model, not a curated record. NCBI's taxonomy places the organism in Eukaryota, Viridiplantae, Streptophyta, Magnoliopsida, Ericales, Ebenaceae.